RNAcentral lists this ribosomal RNA (225 nucleotides) under uncultured bacterium. RNAcentral's name for it is "partial 16S ribosomal RNA". It matches the Rfam family "Bacterial small subunit ribosomal RNA", at positions 109 to 334 of the family's 1533-position model. The record is from RNAcentral.
AGUAACGCGUGGGUAACCUGCCUCAUACAGGGGGAUAACAGUUGGAAACGACUGCUAAUACCGCAUAAGCGCACAGGACCGCAUGAUCCGGUGUGAAAAACUCCGGUGGUAUGAGAUGGAUCCGCGUCUGAUUAGCCAGUUGGCAGGGUAACGGCCUACCAAAGCGACGAUCAGUAGCCGACCUGAGAGGGUGACCGGCCACAUUGGGACUGAGACACGGCCCAA